GAUUAAAUGGCUGAAAUUUAGGCGAUAGAUUGUAAAUCUAUUUAUGAAGGCUAUCUUCUUUAAUCA
Molecule: transfer RNA, 66 nt
Filed under: Tipula flavolineata
Lineage: Eukaryota; Metazoa; Arthropoda; Insecta; Diptera; Tipulidae
Description: tRNA-Tyr
Rfam family: tRNA
About the family: Transfer RNA (tRNA) molecules are approximately 80 nucleotides in length. Their secondary structure includes four short double-helical elements and three loops (D, anti-codon, and T loops).
Source: RNAcentral